RNAcentral lists this unclassified non-coding RNA (286 nucleotides) under Hevea brasiliensis (rubber tree). The record is from RNAcentral. Lineage: Eukaryota; Viridiplantae; Streptophyta; Magnoliopsida; Malpighiales; Euphorbiaceae.
GGAAAAGUGAAUUUUAUUGGUCUGUUAUUGUAAUUUUCAAUAUAUUAUAUGCUUUUGUAUAAGGAUGAGUUGUUGUGUGCAUUAACUUAUUUUUUAGUUUCUUGCACAUUUGCGACUUUGAAGAAGUAAGGAAAUUGCCUCCUCCUGUUCCUGCUUCCCCACCCUGCUAUCAUAAAGAAAAGUCUAAAGGGAGAAAUAAACAAAUACUUCUCAUUUGUCCUCCAUUAGUUUAAUAUGUUAAGGUCUAUGUCUUUGUGACUCAGCUUUUUUGUUUGUUCAGUUUCUC